RNAcentral lists this small RNA (655 nucleotides) under Inocybe aff. hirtella UCBSB59. Its description in RNAcentral is "eukaryotic LSU rRNA". The stretch from base 230 to 383 matches the Rfam family "5.8S ribosomal RNA". Lineage: Eukaryota; Fungi; Basidiomycota; Agaricomycetes; Agaricales; Inocybaceae. The record is from RNAcentral.
UGCGGAGGAUCAUUAUUGAAUAAACUUGAACAGGCUGUUGCUGGUCCUCCUGGGGGCAUGUGCACGCUUGUCAUCUUUAUCAUUUCUCCAAACUGUGCACCUCUUGUAGACCUGGAGCUGGAUUUCAUUCGAGUUGGGACUGCUGUGCUUCACAAGCCAGCUUUGCCUUGCAGGUCUAUGUUCACAAAAUCUGUUUAGAAUGGUUGGCCUAUAUAUAUAAAAGUUAUACAACUUUCAGCAACGGAUCUCUUGGUUCUCGCAUCGAUGAAGAACGCAGCGAAAUGCGAUAAGUAAUGUGAAUUGCAGAAUUCAGUGAAUCAUCGAAUCUUUGAACGCAUCUUGCGCUCCUUGGUAUUCCGAGGAGCAUGCCUGUUUGAGUGUCAUUUUAACUUCUCAACCAUGUCGAUUGUUUUUUUGAUAUGGUUUGGAUGUGGGGGUUUUAUAUUUUGCAGGCUGUGUAUUAAGUCGGCCCCCCUGCAACGCAUUAGUGGUAUCUGAGCAGAACUGCUACUAUUAGGUGUGAUAACUAUCUAUGCCUUUUGGUAUUCUGCAUGAACAGAUUGUGCUGCUUCCAACUGUGCACAUUUUUGUGUUUGAUAAAUUUGACCUCAAAUCAGGUAGGACUACCCGCUGAACUUAAGCAUAUCAAUAAGCG